Pelobates cultripes (western spadefoot toad) is the source of this 271-nucleotide non-coding RNA. The record is from the annotation of a GenBank genome assembly. NCBI's taxonomy places the organism in Eukaryota, Metazoa, Chordata, Amphibia, Anura, Pelobatidae.
GUAUGGCCGUCCUUUUACCCUUAUGACGGACCAUAACCCCCUUGUGUGGCUAAACCGGGUUGCUGGCAACAACCCCAGGCUAUUACGGUGGAGCCUAGCCCUUCUACAAUGCAAUACCGGCCGGGCAAACAAAACGGUACUGCGGACCGUUUGUCGCGACAGACUGAGCUGGACUCCUAAUUUACUUUUCCCGGACAUCCCCAAGCCAACCCGACAGCAUCUAGGUGGGUAUGCCGUCCCAUGGGACGAAAGGGGAGCAGUGUGAAGAAAU